UACGGAGGGGGCUAGCGUUGUUCGGAAUUACUGGGCGUAAAGUGUGCGCAGGCGGCCGCGCAAGUCGAGUGUGAAAGCCCCGGGCUUAACUUGGGAAUUGCGCUCGAAACUACGUGGCUGGAGUGUGGCAGAGGAAGGUGGAAUUCCACGUGUAGCGGUGAAAUGCGUAGAGAUGUGGAGGAACACCAAUGGCGAAGGCAGCCUUCUGGGCCAACACUGACGCUCAUGCACGAAAGCGUGGGGAGCAAACAGG
Molecule: ribosomal RNA, 253 nt
Filed under: uncultured bacterium
Lineage: Bacteria
Description: partial 16S ribosomal RNA
Rfam family: Bacterial small subunit ribosomal RNA
Source: RNAcentral